AGCCGAUGAAGGACGUUACUAACGACGAUAUGCUUUGGGGAGCUGUAAGUAAGCUUUGAUCCAGAGAUUUCCGAAUGGGGAAACCCAGCAUGAGUUAUGUCAUGUUAUCGAUAUGUGAAUACAUAGCAUAUCAGAAGGCACACCCGGAGAACUGAAACAUCUUAGUACCCGGAGGAAGAGAAAGAAAAUUCGAUUCCCUUAGUAGCGGCGAGCGAAACGGGAAGAGCCCAAACCAACAAGCUUGCUUGUUGGGGUUGUAGGACACUCUAUACGGAGUUACAAAGGACGACAUUAGACGAAUCAUCUGGAAAGAUGAAUCAAAGAAGGUAAUAAUCCUGUAGUCGAAAAUGUUGUCUCUCUUGAGUGGAUCCUGAGUACG
This 379-nucleotide ribosomal RNA is filed under the name Staphylococcus aureus. RNAcentral's name for it is "partial 23S ribosomal RNA". It matches the Rfam family "Bacterial large subunit ribosomal RNA", at positions 44 to 416 of the family's 2925-position model. The record is from RNAcentral. Lineage: Bacteria; Bacillati; Bacillota; Bacilli; Caryophanales; Staphylococcaceae.